This 468-nucleotide ribosomal RNA is filed under the name uncultured bacterium. RNAcentral's name for it is "partial 16S ribosomal RNA". It matches the Rfam family "Bacterial small subunit ribosomal RNA", at positions 28 to 507 of the family's 1533-position model. The record is from RNAcentral.
GACGAACGCUGGCGGCGUGCUUAACACAUGCAAGUCGAACGGAAAGGCCCUGCUUUUGUGGGGUGCUCGAGUGGCGAACGGGUGAGUAACACGUGAGUAACCUGCCCUUGACUUUGGGAUAACUUCAGGAAACUGGGGCUAAUACCGGAUAGGAGCUCCUGCUGCAUGGUGGGGGUUGGAAAGUUUCGGCGGUUGGGGAUGGACUCGCGGCUUAUCAGCUUGUUGGUGGGGUAGUGGCUUACCAAGGCUUUGACGGGUAGCCGGCCUGAGAGGGUGACCGGCCACAUUGGGACUGAGAUACGGCCCAGACUCCUACGGGAGGCAGCAGUGGGGAAUAUUGCACAAUGGGCGGAAGCCUGAUGCAGCAACGCCGCGUGCGGUAUGACGGCCUGCGGGUUGUAAACCGCUUUCGCCUGUGACGAAGCGUGAGUGACGGUAAUGGGUAAAGAAGCACCGGCUAACUACGUG